CAGCAGCCACGGGAAUACGUAGGUGGCAAGCGUUGUCCGGAAUUAUUGGGCGUAAAGCGCGCGCAGGUGGUUUAAUAAGUCUGAUGUGAAAGCCCACGGCUCAACCGUGGAGGGUCAUUGGAAACUGUUAAACUUGAGUGCAGGAGAGAAAAGUGGAAUUCCUAGUGUAGCGGUGAAAUGCGUAGAGAUUAGGAGGAACACCAGUGGCGAAGGCGGCUUUUUGGCCUGUAACUGACACUGAGGCGCGAAAGCGUGGGGAGCGAACAGGAUUAGAUACCCGAGUAGUCCCUGUCUCUUAUAC
This 301-nucleotide ribosomal RNA is filed under the name uncultured bacterium. RNAcentral's name for it is "partial 16S ribosomal RNA". It matches the Rfam family "Bacterial small subunit ribosomal RNA", at positions 509 to 807 of the family's 1533-position model. The record is from RNAcentral.